AUUGAACGCUGGCGGCAUGCUUUACACAUGCAAGUCGAACGGCAGCGGGGAGGAGCUUGCUUCUCUGCCGGCGAGUGGCGAACGGGUGAGUAAUACAUCGGAACGUGUCGAGAAGAGGGGGAUAACCACCCGAAAGGGUGGCUAAUACCGCAUAAAUUCUGAGGAAGAAAGCUGGGGACCUAGGAAUAGGCCUAGCGCUUUUUGAGCGGCCGAUGUCGGAUUAGCUAGUUGGUGAGGUAAAGGCUCACCAAGGCGAAGAUCUGUAGCGGGUCUGAGAGGAGGAUCCGCCACACUGGGACUUGAACACGGCCCCGGCUCCUACGGGAGGCAGCAGUGGGGAAUUUUGGACAAUGGGGGCAAACCUUGUCCAGCCAUGCCGCGUGUAUGAAGAAGGCCUUAGGGUUGUAAAGUACUUUUGUUAGGGAAAAAAAGACAGCUGUGAAUAAUGGCUGAUACUGACGGUACCUAAAGAAUAAGCACCGGCUAACUACGUG
RNAcentral lists this ribosomal RNA (494 nucleotides) under uncultured bacterium. Its description in RNAcentral is "partial 16S ribosomal RNA". It matches the Rfam family "Bacterial small subunit ribosomal RNA", at positions 30 to 507 of the family's 1533-position model. The record is from RNAcentral.